This 482-nucleotide ribosomal RNA is filed under the name uncultured bacterium. Its description in RNAcentral is "partial 16S ribosomal RNA". It matches the Rfam family "Bacterial small subunit ribosomal RNA", at positions 30 to 507 of the family's 1533-position model. The record is from RNAcentral.
AUUGAACGCUGGCGGCAUGCCUUACACAUGCAAGUCGAACGGUAACAGGUCUUCGGAUGCUGACGAGUGGCGAACGGGUGAGUAAUACAUCGGAACGUGCCCGAUCGUGGGGGAUAACGGAGCGAAAGCUUUGCUAAUACCGCAUACGAUCUACGGAUGAAAGCAGGGGACCGCAAGGCCUUGCGCGGACGGAGCGGCCGAUGGCAGAUUAGGUAGUUGGUGGGAUAAAAGCUUACCAAGCCGACGAUCUGUAGCUGGUCUGAGAGGGCGACCAGCCACACUGGGACUGAGACACGGCCCAGACUCCUACGGGAGGCAGCAGUGGGGAAUUUUGGACAAAGGGCGAAAGCCUGAUCCAGCCAUGCCGCGUGCAGGAUGAAGGCCUUCGGGUUGUAAACUGCUUUUGUACGGAACGAAAAGACUCUUUCUAAUAAAGAGGGUCCAUGACGGUACCGUAAGAAUAAGCACCGGCUAACUACGUG